Molecule: long non-coding RNA, 598 nt
Organism: Saccostrea echinata
Lineage: Eukaryota; Metazoa; Mollusca; Bivalvia; Ostreida; Ostreidae
Exons: 3
Source: RefSeq, a predicted model, not a curated record
CGUGCUAUCGACAAUCGUUCAUUAGAAAGUGAUCAGGCUAUGUGAAAAUAUCUUCAAUUGCAGAAUCGGUAACAGGGUUUAGAUUAGAAAAUAGAGACGAAAAGUGUAUACGAGGUUGGGUUUUGUCAGAGGAAAUCCUUCAGCAAUUCAUUGAAGUACGUUCAAUCAGCACGGGAUGUCAAUUUGUGUCGUGGUCAAUAUAUACCAGAUACCACACUUUUACAGUUCUUGAGAAUAACAUACUUGAAAAGCUGUUGAGAGAAUAUCCAGUGUAAGUUUUAGGCAUGCCCAUCUUAAAUCAAUGUCUUGAUGAAGGAGGCCCUAUUCCUUGGUCUGUGUUUGAGAACUGGAAUGCCAAUUAAUAGAAGAGGCAGAGAAAAGAUCAGUCAACAAACAGAAAUGUCUAUGAAGAGGGCCAAAAGAAAACAAAACAAUUGAAAUGUAUACAUGUAUUGCAUGCUGGUAUUACUGUAUCAGUACUUAGUCUAAUUAUCUGCAAUCUUAAUGUCACAUUUAAUGCAUUGCUGAUGCAUGUAGUUACAAUAAACAUAACUGGUGUUAUAUUUGAAAUUUAAGAAUUUGUUUAAUUGUUACCAUA